This is a long non-coding RNA of Sitophilus oryzae (rice weevil), 1182 nucleotides long. RefSeq lists it as uncharacterized. NCBI's taxonomy places the organism in Eukaryota, Metazoa, Arthropoda, Insecta, Coleoptera, Curculionidae. The transcript is spliced from 7 exons. The record is from RefSeq and is a predicted model, not a curated record.
GGAAUUUUUUGAAUGGAAUGAUACUGAAAAUCUUACCCACAAAUGACAAUUUCAAGAUACAAUCAGUAGUACUUAAAUUGAUUGGCCUUCAUUACCAUUGCGCUAUGAAAAUGGUAUACGAAAGGACAAUUGCCAUUAGAAACAAAUAAGUUCUAUUAGCUGCAACUAAUAUUUAUGGUGGUCAUAAAAGAGAUUUAAAUGAAAUGAAACUUGUGUGCAUAAGAAAUCGAGGAAAACCAUUUUGAAUUGCUGUUACUUAAUAGCUGUCAGAGCGGAUCUGGUUCUUUAUCAAUGAUAUAAGAUGGGACAAUUGCUGUUAAAAAUCCACAAUCCGUACUAUCUGCAAAUAUUAUGGUGGACAGCCAAAAACUUUAAAUGGAAUGAAACUUGCAGGAAAAGACUCAGAAAGACCAUUUAGGACUGUACUUAAUAGCUGUUAGAGUGGAUGCAGUCCUUCAUCAAUGUGAGCUGAACAAAUUCAUGUUAAUGGACAUUUUGACAGCUGCUGUCACAACUCAACGAACAAGUUGCAGCUUUGGAGGAAAAUUUUUGAUUGGAUACAGAAAAAUGUCAGUCGUUUCAGGAUGUAAAGUUAAUAGAACCAGGGUUGGGCUCGACAUCUGUUGCCUUUUGAUAAUGAUAUACGAAAGGACAAUUGCUAUUAGAAACAAAUAAGUUCUACUAGCUGCAACUAAUAUUUGAAAUGAAACUUGUGCAGAAGAAAAUGAGGAAAACCAUUUUGAACUGCUGUUACUAAUAGCUGUUAGAGGGGAUCCAGUUCUUCAUCAAUGGUAUAAGAUGGGACGAUUUAACGCAAUUAUUGCUGUUAAAAAUCCACAAGCCGUACUAUCUGCAAAUAUUAUGGUGGACAGCCAAAAGCUUUAAAUGGAAUGAAACUUGCAGGAAAAGACUCAGAAAGACUAUUUAGGACUGUACUUAAUAGCUGUUAGUGGUCGCAGUCCUUCAUCACUGAUAUCUCUGCAUUUUCUUAACAAUGGAUAUCCCAACAGUUGCUCCUACUCGUCACUUUCCUCUUUCACUCAACAUAAAGCAGACUCAAUACUCCUCAAUGCCUCACCAAGCUUCGUUAGCUUCAUUAAUAGUGUUAUUGUUUCAAUAAAUUUGUUUAUUGGUUUUUAUCCUCUUACUAUAUAAUUAUAUCAGGCGUCAUUUUAAUGUUAA